CAGCCAUCGAUCCUUGGGUGGCCUCGAGGUGGUGGCAGGGCCGCCCCCUGCAGUCCGGAGGCGAACGCACGGACCCGGCCUCCGGAGGCAGGUUCGGCUGGGAGGAACCGCUCCCGCUUCGUCCUACACUUGGGCAAAUGUCUCCGCCUUCAGGAGUAGAAAGAACUCCGUUACACGUAGCGAAGUCAAAUGCUAGGGGAAACCAUUAGCUGGAAUCCACAGGAAACGAACGCAACACGGAACACGAAGCCCAAGCACAGAAGAUCAAAGACGCCAGGAGAGGGCCCCUCGCACCUUUUCCAAACCAAAAAUGUGAAGCAGCAGAACUUCCAAAACCUCCGGCCUCGUCUUGUGAUUCCACCAAUGCAGCCACCGCCAAGCAAGCCUUGAAAUAGCCCAUCAAGGGCAAACAGGCCCCCGAAAAAAACUCAAGGAAAAGUCGCAAACUCACGGAUUUCUACCCUGUCCCAAGGAGCUCCAGGAAGGGCAAAGCGGAGCUGCAGUUUGAAGAAAGGGAAAGAAUAGAUGAAUUGAUUGAAAGCGGGAAGGAAAGAAGGAGUGAAGACUGACCUCAUCGAUGACAAAGGCCGGGUGUAAACACCAGAGGGAGCUCUCCCAGGGCGCCUUUGUGGUAGAAAAGCACGGGAGCCUCACAGAGAUCACCGAUGCCACGGGACCCCUCCAUGGUGGAUCUCCAUGGAUCUCCGCAGUGAGAGAUCGCGCCACUGCACACCAUCCUGGGAGGCAGAGGGAGACUCCAGCUCAAAUAAGUAGAUGACUGAAUGAAUGAAUGAGCGAAUGAAUGAAUGUUAGGUUUCCAAGGUGGACUUAAACAGAUGGCUUUAUAUUACCAA
This 854-nucleotide small RNA is filed under the name Pongo abelii (Sumatran orangutan). Its description in RNAcentral is "processed transcript". The record is from RNAcentral. Lineage: Eukaryota; Metazoa; Chordata; Mammalia; Primates; Hominidae.